This 30-nucleotide ribosomal RNA is filed under the name fungal endophyte. RNAcentral's name for it is "partial 28S ribosomal RNA". Lineage: Eukaryota; Fungi. The record is from RNAcentral.
GACCUCGGAUCAGGUAGGGAACCCGUGACU